GGAACACGAUUUAUCACUAUUUUGCUCUUAAAAUCUAAGUUAAGCGAGAAAAAAAUAACAAUAGAUGAGUCUUGUAUUUAUAGACCGAGAAGAAGAUAUUUUGUUCCUGCAAAAUCGUUGUUCCCUUGAGAUACUGCGUGCGAUUCGGCGUGGAAGAGAUAAGCAUGCCGCCCACUUUCGAUGCAUUCCUUCGUCUAUCCCUCAAUUCUACCUUUUCCAAGUCCUACUAUGUGUCAUGCACUUGAGGCUUAUGGGUUCAAGCUUCUAUUGAGGCAUUGUUGCAAUUUGAUUAAGAUGCACUUGUUUGCAGUUGCAGAGAUGAGUUUAAUUGAAGCAUCCUGGUCAGGAUUUUCCACUUUAUGAACUUAUUUUGCAUCUUAAAAAGUCCUAGAAAUAGAAGCUCAAGAAAGUUGUGUCAGAAUAUUGCAAUUUUCAAGCUUAAUUUUGAUAGCCACUGUUCCUCCUGCAGAUGCAGAACAUGAAGGGUCAAACAUAACUGUGCUGACACAAUUUGGCUAUGUGACAGGUGUUAUAACCUGUAACGAGAGGAAGUGUCAUGAUUGGUGAGGCGUUUGGAGGAAAAAAUCGAGUGUCUAGAUCUUGUAACUGGUGAGUAUAAAUUGAUUAACUUUUUUGGUAUUUUAAUGGGGCAGACGUGCACAAUAGUUUUUAGAGGUAUUUUUAUUAUUAUGUUAAUGUCAGCCAUCAUAUAUGUUCUUGAUGAGGUUGAGAGAUAAUUGCAUGAUAUCCUUGUAUGUGUUAUCUCAUAGUAGGUAUAUUGUUGUUUUUGUUCUUUUGUUAUAAACAAGUUCUUUGCUAUGAGUAUAUUGUUAUUUUUCCCCCUACAAUUGUAGUAAAAUUAGAGGAUUCAAGGACAUCACAUCUCUCAUGUUCAAUGAAAAAACUGAUAUGUUCUUUUGACUCCUUUGCACCUUGUACAUACAAGACAUCUUGGACAUUUCUGAUGAGGAAGCAAUUUGGUAUGUUCUGAUUUAUGAGCCUAUUAUCAGUAGUUUAGGUUGAAAAUAUGCUUUACUCCAUCAAGUGCAAAAGUUGGUAAUGUGGUCUUAUCGGGGAGAUGCAUGCAGAUUAGUGGCUAUUAUUAUUUAGUUGGACUGCAGCUUAUUGACUGGUAGCUAGGAGGUGAUGCACAUGUAUGUUUUGUUGAAGUUUAUUGAUUUGUAAUUUUGGGGUGGAUAUUAGAAGUAAGCAAUGACUUUAAUAUUGCUUUCAAGUUUAUACGAGUUUGUUCUGCUCUAAGUUACUUGGCGCAGUUUAAAUUUUGGAAGAAUUGAAUAGGUAUUGUUUUGGUAUUUUGAUGUACUUUGUCAUUAUUUUGACAUAUUUGUAAGAUUUGUUAGUUUUUUCAAUAUAAUAAUAUAAUUUAAGUUUUCAUUUAUUUUGU
Long non-coding RNA from Trifolium pratense (red clover), 1405 nucleotides. RefSeq lists it as uncharacterized. NCBI's taxonomy places the organism in Eukaryota, Viridiplantae, Streptophyta, Magnoliopsida, Fabales, Fabaceae. The transcript has 6 exons. The record is from RefSeq and is a predicted model, not a curated record.